Molecule: ribosomal RNA, 872 nt
Filed under: Triticum aestivum (bread wheat)
Lineage: Eukaryota; Viridiplantae; Streptophyta; Magnoliopsida; Poales; Poaceae
Description: partial small subunit ribosomal RNA
Source: RNAcentral
UAAGAAGAGGUAGGAGGUAGGGGGUUAAGUUAGAAUAGGUAGAAGGAGAGGGAGCAAGCGGCGGUGGUGGCCGUUGGAACCACGGGGAGAGGGAUUGGCGGUGGCGGGGGUGGGAGAGGGGGCAGGGGGCGAGAGUGGAAGACAGGAAUUUGAUCCGCAGGGGGUCUUGCUCUUACAACUCCGCGAAGGACUAAACGCCGCCGACGAAGGCUUAGGCGGCUCGUCGCGGUCUCCAGCCGAGGAAGAGGCGCAACAAGACGCGGUUCCACUCCGUGAGUUAUGGCACCGGCCUACCUCCAACCCGCUAAAGGAAGGGACUGGAGCGACGGAUCGGUGAGGUGGCGCUCGAAGAGCGGGGGUCGCCGCAUGUUCUGCAGGAGGAGGAGCUACGUCGGUAAGGGUUACUCAAGAGAAACGGCCUUCUCCACGUCUUCGUUCAGGUCGUGGGGGAAGCGGGGACGUAGGACAGGAUGUAGCGGACCUGCUCGAGUGACUACCAACGCAGGAAUGGAGGAUCGCACUAUAACCAAAUACCCUAGUAAAAGUUAUUGUUUCUAUACUGCUCGUCUAGGUGCCGGUCCUUACGCCCCAGGGAACCAACAUGCUGCUCGUAACACGCAACGGACUACCCACACCACGACCGACAUCUCAUCGUAUCACAAGAGGCUCCGUACGGACACCUUAAUUAGAAAAAACCCAAGAAAAAAACGAGGACAUGUCCACAUAGACCCCACACAAAUACAUUAAAAAACAAAAAUUCCUGGACUCGUAUAUAAAAGAAAAUUUAAUAAUAACCGAAUUUUAAAGGUACCUGGUUCUCUUUAGACACUACCCGAUUACAGCACCUGACUCUUUAAUCAGACUCUUUAAUC